GUCGCAAGAUGUUCGGGAUAGGAUCUUCUGAUCCUGAUUUUCUGGUGACCGGAAAAAAAUCAUCUACAAUUUGCGGUUCUAACGAUGAUGCCCGACACUCGCAAGAGCUUCAAAAAGUUCAGGCGGAACUAGAAAGAGAACGUGAGGCCCGACAAAACAUAGAAGCCCGUUUUGAACUAUUUCAACAAGAGCGUGAAAAAGAGCGGGCCGACCAAGACGCAUGGCGAAAAAAUAUGUAAGAAAUGGUGAAAAACAUCGGAAAGAAGUAAACAAAUCUCUCGUUUUGUUAAGUAUUGGAAUGUUGGAUUACUUUUGAAUCAAAAAACUUGCUCUUAAUUAGGAUUU
Helianthus annuus (common sunflower) is the source of this 345-nucleotide long non-coding RNA. RefSeq lists it as uncharacterized. The record is from RefSeq and is a predicted model, not a curated record. NCBI's taxonomy places the organism in Eukaryota, Viridiplantae, Streptophyta, Magnoliopsida, Asterales, Asteraceae. The transcript is spliced from 2 exons.